GAUGAACGCUGGCGGCGCGCCUAACACAUGCAAGUCGAACGAUUAAAGCACCUUCGGGUGUGUAUAAAGUGGCGAACGGCUGAGUAACACGUGGGCAACCUGCCCCUUUCAUUGGGAUAGCCACGGGAAACCGUGGAUAAUACCGAAUACUUCGAGACUUCCGCAUGGAAGACUCGAGAAAGCUCCGGCGGAGAGGGAUGGGCCCGCGGCCUGUUAGCUUGUUGGUGGUGUAACGGCCUACCAAGGCAAUGAUGGGUAGCUGGGUUGAGAGACCGACCAGCCAGAUUGGGACUGAGACACGGCCCAGACUCCUACGGGAGGCAGCAGUGGGGAAUCAUGCACAAUGGGCGAAAGCCUGAUGCAGCGACGCCGCGUGCGGGAUGAAGGCCUUCGGGUUGUAAACCGCUUUCAGCAGGGACGAGGCGAAAGUGACGGUACCUGCAGAAGAAGCCCCGGCUAACUACGUG
Molecule: ribosomal RNA, 467 nt
Filed under: uncultured bacterium
Lineage: Bacteria
Description: partial 16S ribosomal RNA
Rfam family: Bacterial small subunit ribosomal RNA
Source: RNAcentral